GGUUCCGUGGUCUAGUCGGUCAUGAUUUCUCGUUAACACCGAGAAGGUCCCCGGUUCGAGCCCGGGCGGAACCA
This 74-nucleotide transfer RNA is filed under the name Claviceps arundinis. RNAcentral's name for it is "tRNA-Val". The record is from RNAcentral. Lineage: Eukaryota; Fungi; Ascomycota; Sordariomycetes; Hypocreales; Clavicipitaceae.